GGUUGUAACCUAUCGCUUGUACGUAGUACAAUCUCUGGUCACAAUGCUUCGCAUCAUCCUGUCAAACUGAACCGUAGGGACAAGUUAGGAUAUUGUAAUCAACCAUUACACUUAAACAACAUACAAAACAUGGUAUCCCUAUUCCUAAAACGGUUAGCACGACUCACACCUCUUUGAGCAAUUUUCGAAAUACGCAAGAACAAAGACUUAAAAUUAAUAAAAGGGACUUCGUCAUUUUGAAUCGUCCUCAUUUGCCGCUACCGACCAGAGUCCGUUACACAUACUCUGGUCAAACGAACAAAUUGUGAACGUUUUGUAAUUUAAAGUGCUGUGAAUAUCUGUUAUUUGUACCCAGCAUUCCUGUAGCCGGCGAAAUGUGUCAGGGAGUUGGUCCCAACCCGCACCAUCCAAACUAACCGUCAAGGACCGCGCUCUUCGCUAAAAGUGGUCGUUUGGUUGGUGGUGCAAGGAGGUAACAAAAAUGUGAACCUCCAAGUUGGCAGAGCGCGCCAACCCGAGAAUCUGUUAGAGCGCAAUGGCGGAGGCCAUCCGGUUUUUUUUUCUACCAAAGACAAAGACACAAAACCAAAGACACCAAAACCGUUGCUGCGCCAGGCCUGGCCGGAGGAAGAUCCUCCGACUUGACUCGACCACCGCGGGAUACACUAGAACACACGAACACACACACACAUGGUUAGGUUAGUUUUAAAACGACGAAAAACAAUAAAUUAGGACAGUUAAAUGCAAUAAACAUGA
Long non-coding RNA from Culex quinquefasciatus (southern house mosquito), 756 nucleotides. RefSeq lists it as uncharacterized. NCBI's taxonomy places the organism in Eukaryota, Metazoa, Arthropoda, Insecta, Diptera, Culicidae. The record is from RefSeq and is a predicted model, not a curated record. The transcript has 4 exons.